RNAcentral lists this ribosomal RNA (588 nucleotides) under Saccharomyces cerevisiae (brewer's yeast). Its description in RNAcentral is "eukaryotic LSU rRNA". It matches the Rfam family "Eukaryotic large subunit ribosomal RNA", at positions 65 to 668 of the family's 3401-position model. The record is from RNAcentral. Lineage: Eukaryota; Fungi; Ascomycota; Saccharomycetes; Saccharomycetales; Saccharomycetaceae.
CCACCGGGGAUUGCUUAGUACGGCGAGUGAGCGGCAAAAGCUCAAAUUUGAAAUCUGGUACCUUCGGUGCCCGAGUUGUAAUUUGGAGAGGGCAACUUUGGGGCCGUUCCUUGUCUAUGUUCCUUGGAACAGGACGUCAUAGAGGGUGAGAAUCCCGUGUGGCGAGGAGUGCGGUUCUUUGUAAAGUGCCUUCGAAGAGUCGAGUUGUUUGGGAAUGCAGCUCUAAGUGGGUGGUAAAUUCCAUCUAAAGCUAAAUAUUGGCGAGAGACCGAUAGCGAACAAGUACAGUGAUGGAAAGAUGAAAAGAACUUUGAAAAGAGAGUGAAAAAGUACGUGAAAUUGUUGAAAGGGAAGGGCAUUUGAUCAGACAUGGUGUUUUGUGCCCUCUGCUCCUUGUGGGUAGGGGAAUCUCGCAUUUCACUGGGCCAGCAUCAGUUUUGGUGGCAGGAUAAAUCCAUAGGAAUGUAGCUUGCCUCGGUAAGUAUUAUAGCCUGUGGGAAUACUGCCAGCUGGGACUGAGGACUGCGACGUAAGUCAAGGAUGCUGGCAUAAUGGUUAUAUGCCGCCCGUCUUGAACCACCCGGACCA